UUCUCUCUCUUCCUCCCGAUUCUCUCUCUCUCUCCCGCGUCUCUCUUCCUUCUCCGAUCUGCAGAUCGCAGAGCCGCCGCCACAGGCCACGGCUAGCCCCGAGACCGGACCCAAAACGAUCGGCCAAACCUCGCCGACGUCCCCCGACCCAUCUCCAGCCGCCAGCCGCCGCCUCGUCGCCGGAAACCACGGAUUUCAGGCCGAUUCUUGUCUGAGCUUCCAGUCGAUCGUUCUCUCUCCUCCGAGCACUAUUUCAGACGGGUGAGGUAUUUCGACUGCACGCACGCAGCAAGCAGGACCUUCACGUGGUCAGGCAGCGAGGGAAUACUUCCAGUAGUUGCUCUUGGAAGUGCAAGUGGUGUACGAAGCGGAAUCGGUGCAUCUUUCUAAUUAGGAAUUGUGUAAAUUCUUCUACUCAACUG
Molecule: long non-coding RNA, 422 nt
Organism: Prunus persica (peach)
Lineage: Eukaryota; Viridiplantae; Streptophyta; Magnoliopsida; Rosales; Rosaceae
Exons: 3
Source: RefSeq, a predicted model, not a curated record